Meloidogyne enterolobii is the source of this 101-nucleotide non-coding RNA. NCBI's taxonomy places the organism in Eukaryota, Metazoa, Nematoda, Chromadorea, Rhabditida, Meloidogynidae. The record is from the annotation of a GenBank genome assembly.
GUCUCGGUAGCUCAGUUGGUAGAGCACCUGUACUACUUGAUGAGCGAAAGGCCUAGUAAUAACUGCCAGGAGGCUGCAGGAUCGAAGCCUGCCCGGGAGCA